AUGCAAAAUCGAACCUGAAUAAACACAUAUGUGUAAGCAAGGAGCGACUAUAAAACGCCUAGUUUAAGAAAUAAUUUUUAUAACACAAUUUUGUCACGAGUACAAUCGCUUGUAAUUAAGACCGUAAAUUUUGUAAGAAAUGGCAGACAUUUAUGUGGUAGCCGUGUGCAUUGCGGUUAUGGUGGCGAUAGCUCCUUACAUAAAUAUGGAUAUUUCAAUUGACUAAGAAGAAAACGAUGGUGUUGUCUAAAUUGUUUUUUAAUAUUUUUUAUUACUAAUUGUCAAUUUAUGAAUUACGAAAUUACAAAUUAGAUACAUAUAAUCUAA
This is a long non-coding RNA of Melitaea cinxia (Glanville fritillary), 327 nucleotides long. RefSeq lists it as uncharacterized. NCBI's taxonomy places the organism in Eukaryota, Metazoa, Arthropoda, Insecta, Lepidoptera, Nymphalidae. The transcript is spliced from 2 exons. The record is from RefSeq and is a predicted model, not a curated record.